GGCGGACGGGUGAGUAACGCGUAAGAACUUGCCCUUUAGACUGGGAUAACAGAGGGAAACUUCUGAUAAUACUGGAUAAGUUAGUAUAUCGCAUGAUAUACAAAUGAAAGCUACGGCACUAAAGGAGAGCUUUGCGUCCUAUUAGCUAGUUGGUAAGGUAAGAGCUUACCAAGGCGAUGAUAGGUAGCCGGCCUGAGAGGGUGGACGGCCACAAGGGGACUGAGAUACGGCCCUUACUCCUACGGGAGGCAGCAGCA
RNAcentral lists this ribosomal RNA (257 nucleotides) under uncultured Leptotrichia sp. RNAcentral's name for it is "partial 16S ribosomal RNA". It matches the Rfam family "Bacterial small subunit ribosomal RNA", at positions 97 to 355 of the family's 1533-position model. Lineage: Bacteria; Fusobacteriati; Fusobacteriota; Fusobacteriia; Fusobacteriales; Leptotrichiaceae. The record is from RNAcentral.